Molecule: unclassified non-coding RNA, 612 nt
Filed under: Macrochaete lichenoides SAG 32.92
Lineage: Bacteria; Bacillati; Cyanobacteriota; Cyanophyceae; Nostocales; Calotrichaceae
Description: 16S-23S ribosomal RNA intergenic spacer
Rfam family: tRNA (bases 304-376)
Source: RNAcentral
UUAAGGGAGACCUACCCAACUUAUUGAUUCGAUUGUUAUUGGUAACGAUUGAGGUAAUAUUAAUAAGAUGGUCAACCAAAGGUCGAAUCGCUGAUGAUUUAGAUGUAUAGCUUUCAAACUAUAAAUUUGGUUCGGAAUUGGGCUAUUAGCUCAGGUGGUUAGAGCGCACCCCUGAUAAGGGUGAGGUCCCUGGUUCGAGUCCAGGAUGGCCCACCUGAACAAGAAAAAAGUCUUUAGAUAAAAGUAAAAACAAAGAUUGAUGAUUUUUUUUGCUUUUAAAUUUAAUCUUUUAACUUGUAUCGUGGGGGUUUAGCUCAGUUGGUAGAGCGCCUGCUUUGCAAGCAGGAUGUCAGCGGUUCGAGUCCGCUAACCUCCACUGUGAAAAAGAAAUGAAAUAUUUAGCACCUAAACUAGGAACAAUUAUGGUUUAUAGUUUAGAAUGCUGAAAAGAAUUUCAGCCAGAACCAUGAAAACUGCAUAGUGACGCAAAAGUAAUGUAGGUAGUAAUCUCUUUACGACUGAAUAAUUUUCCGGUUGGCAACAACUUGGGGAUUGAUAAGUCAAAAUUUGAUUGGAUACGUACAUCACAGACAAUUGAUGCCGGAUAUUAUU